This 118-nucleotide non-coding RNA is filed under the name Cutibacterium acnes. Lineage: Bacteria; Bacillati; Actinomycetota; Actinomycetes; Propionibacteriales; Propionibacteriaceae. The record is from RNAcentral.
AGGGAACCCCGUGAGAAUCGGGGACUGACGCGCAGCGGUAACGCAGACGGGCAAGUAGCAAGCCACUGGGAACAACCCGGGAAGGCGCUCGUUCGGAUGAUGCCAAGUCCGAAAACCU